AGUCUUCCACAAUGGGCGAAAGCCUGAUGGAGCAACGCCGCGUGAGUGAAGAAGGUUUUCGGAUCGUAAAACUCUGUUGUAAGGGAAGAACAAGUACAGUAGUAACUGGCUGUACCUUGACGGUACCUUAUUAGAAAGCCACGGCUAACUACGUGCCAGCAGCCGCGGUAAUACGUAGGUGGCAAGCGUUGUCCGAAAUUAUUGGGCUUAAAGCGGGCGCAGGCGGUCCUUUAAGUCUGUGGUGAAAGCCCAGGGCUCAACGGUGGGGGGUCAUUGAAACCUGGGGACUUGAGUGCAGAAGAGGAAAGUGGAAUUCCAAGUGUAGCGGUGAAAUGCGUAGAGAUUUGGAGGAACACCAGUGGCGAAGGCGACUUUCUGGUCUGUAACUGACGCUGAGGCGCGAAAGCGUGGGGAGCAAACAGG
Molecule: ribosomal RNA, 423 nt
Filed under: uncultured bacterium
Lineage: Bacteria
Description: partial 16S ribosomal RNA
Rfam family: Bacterial small subunit ribosomal RNA
Source: RNAcentral